RNAcentral lists this ribosomal RNA (880 nucleotides) under uncultured bacterium. Its description in RNAcentral is "bacterial SSU rRNA". It matches the Rfam family "Bacterial small subunit ribosomal RNA", at positions 41 to 916 of the family's 1533-position model. The record is from RNAcentral.
GGCGUGCCUAAUACAUGCAAGUCGAACGGGGGUACACAUUCGUAAGGAUGAGUAUUCCAGUGGCAGACGGGUGAGUAACACGUAGUUGACCUACCCUGAAGAGGGGGAUAACGUUCCGAAAGGGAUGCUAAUACUCCAUAAGCACACAGAGGUUAGAGGCUCUGGGUGAAAAAGGUAACAUCGCAAGAUGUUAUCCGCUUGAGGAGGGGACUGCGGCCCAUCAGCUAGUUGGUGAGGUAGAAGCCCACCAAGGCGAAGACGGGUAGGGGGCCUGAGAGGGUGGUCCCCCACACGGGCACUGAGAGACGGGCCCGACUCCUACGGGAGGCAGCAGUAAGGGAUAUUGCACAAUGGGCGCAAGCCUGAUGCAGCAACGCCGCGUGCACGAGGAAGGCCUUCGGGUCGUAAAGUGCUUUUCUGGGAGACGAGGAAGGACGGUACCCCAGGAAUAAGUGUCGGCUAACUACGUGCCAGCAGCCACGGUAAAACGUAGGGCGCGAGCGUUAUCCGGAGUUACUGGGCGUAAAGGGCGGGUAGGCGGUCGGUCAAGUUGGAUGUGAAAUCUCCUGGCUAAACUGGGAGGGUGCAUUCGAAACUGACCGGCUAGAGGACAGCAGAGGGUCGCGGAAUUCCGGGUGGAGUGGUGAAAUGCGUAGAGAUCCGGAGGAACACCAGAGGCGAAAGCGGCGACCUGGGCUGUAACUGACGCUGAACCGCGAAAGCCAGGGGAGCGAACGGGAUUAGAAACCCCGGUAGUCCUAGCCGUAAACGAUGGGCACUUGGUGUUGGGGGUAUUGAGUCCCUCGGUGCCGGAGUUAACACGUUAAGUGCCCCGCCUGGGGAGUACGGUCGCAAGACUGAAACUCAAAUGAAUUGACGG